UCCCUGGUGGCUCAGAUGGCAAAGAAUCAGCCUGCGAUGCUGGAGACCUGGGUUCAAUUCCUAGGUUGGGAG
This 72-nucleotide transfer RNA is filed under the name Bos taurus (domestic cattle). It matches the Rfam family "tRNA". Rfam says of the family: Transfer RNA (tRNA) molecules are approximately 80 nucleotides in length. Their secondary structure includes four short double-helical elements and three loops (D, anti-codon, and T loops). Further hydrogen bonds mediate the characteristic L-shaped molecular structure. tRNAs have two regions of fundamental functional importance: the anti-codon, which is responsible for specific mRNA codon recognition, and the 3' end, to which the tRNAs corresponding amino acid is attached (by aminoacyl-tRNA synthetases). tRNAs cope with the degeneracy of the genetic code in two manners: having more than one tRNA (with a specific anti-codon) for a particular amino acid; and 'wobble' base-pairing, i.e. permitting non-standard base-pairing at the 3rd anti-codon position. Lineage: Eukaryota; Metazoa; Chordata; Mammalia; Artiodactyla; Bovidae. The record is from Rfam by way of RNAcentral. RNAcentral also lists the same sequence under 2 other names.